UAGGCGGCCUAAUAACUUUAUUCGACAUUUUUCUUCUUCGUUCACUUGGCCCUACUAUACACAUGUAUACCCACCGCCAGGCGGCGCUCCCUUCAGUUUAGCGGGAGAUUUGUAUUACAAGUGGCGGCCAUUUUGUUUGUUUACGGAAACGUGAUGAAAGCUUAGACCUAGAACAAAAUCACGUUAUAUAUACAGUACAGUACGGUAUAUAUUGGCGACAUUUAAUUACCCCACUCACGGAACACAAUCGACAAACUGGGAACAGAAUAUCAAAUUUCGUCUAGCUUUUGGCGACUUAUGAUACCCCUUUCACCGGCAAACACUGAAUUAUCGGACAACAUGAAAUCAGGGACUAAAUUCACCAGCAUUCAUGAUCCUCGGACCACCCGCCCCCUACGCACAGCCGAUUUAUAAAUGUUGCAUCUUUCAAUCAGUGUCAAUCCCAAGAAGAACCCUGAUCAGCUCCUGGAAAAAUCAGUGUUCUUGCAGUAUUGUCAGUCAAAUCUCAAGGAAAGGAUCCCAGAAGAGGAACAUUUGCAUUAUUUCAGACUUUUUUCUUUCCUGUGUAACAAUGCCUCAAACAGCUAACACAUUUUAUAUAGUAUACAAUACAAUGUGUAUUAAUAACAGUCCAGUUAGAGUGCUGUGUUAUGCAGUAAAAAUACUUAAUUCUUGAUGACAUGUUGGUUUUAUGUUUACAUUAAACGGUAGUUAUAAUAUAUACUAAAGAAACAUAGUGGAUAAUGCCUUGUACAGGAGCAGGAGUAUGACAGUGUAAUAGUACAUGACUGCUGCGUUCAUCCAUGGAAGGAGUCUGUUAUUCGAAAUAAAGCUUUCCAUGAGGACG
Long non-coding RNA from Pecten maximus, 847 nucleotides. RefSeq lists it as uncharacterized. The transcript has 3 exons. Lineage: Eukaryota; Metazoa; Mollusca; Bivalvia; Pectinida; Pectinidae. The record is from RefSeq and is a predicted model, not a curated record.